UGGACCAGGCAUGAUGCCUUGUAGCAUAUGGGCCAUGGAUGAUGAAUAACACAUGUCUGGAACUUGAGGUCCAA
Molecule: small nucleolar RNA, 74 nt
Organism: Choloepus hoffmanni (Hoffmann's two-fingered sloth)
Lineage: Eukaryota; Metazoa; Chordata; Mammalia; Pilosa; Megalonychidae
Source: Ensembl